AAGGGCUAUUAAGGCAAGUUUAAAUGUCAGAUUGUUCAUAUCCUUAUCCCGAGAUGAACUUGCUUUAGUUCGAAGUCAGCAAACUAAAUUUAGUUCAUCAAACACUUAGGUGUCUUUCGACUUACUAUUCUUGAAAGCGUUGAGAAAAUAGAAUUCUAGAGGAAACACUUCAGUGAAGUACACCAUACCAAUAUGCUUAGCCGAUUAAACCAAUAGAAU
Molecule: unclassified non-coding RNA, 219 nt
Filed under: Moritella viscosa
Lineage: Bacteria; Pseudomonadati; Pseudomonadota; Gammaproteobacteria; Alteromonadales; Moritellaceae
Description: putative sRNA
Source: RNAcentral